GGAGCAUGUGGUUUAAUUCGAAGCAACGCGAAGAACCUUACCAGGUCUUGACAUCCCGCCGACCGCCUAGGAGACUAGGCCUUCCCUUCGGGGACGGCGGUGACAGGUGGUGCAUGGUUGUCGUCAGCUCGUGUCGUGAGAUGUUGGGUUAAGUCCCGCAACGAGCGCAACCCUUGAUCUUAGUUGCCAGCAUUCAGUUGGGCACUCUAAGGUGACUGUCGGUGACAAACCGGAGGAAGGUGGGGAUGACGUCAAAUCAUCAUGCCCCUUAUGACCUGGGCUACACACGUGCUACAAUGGAUGGUACAAAGGGCUGCGAACCCGCGAGGGGGAGCCAAUCCCAUAAAACCAUUCUCAGUUCGGAUUGUAGGCUGCAACUCGCCUACAUGAAGCUGGAAUCGCUAGUAAUCGUGGAUCAGCAUGCCACGGUGAAUACGUUCCCGGGCCUUGUACACACCGCCCGUCACACCACGAGAGUUUGUAACACCCGAAGUCGGUGGGGUAACCUUUAUGGAGCCAGCCGCCGAAGGUGGGACAGAUGAUUGGGGUGAAGUCGUAACAAGGUAACCA
Molecule: ribosomal RNA, 570 nt
Filed under: uncultured Planomicrobium sp.
Lineage: Bacteria; Bacillati; Bacillota; Bacilli; Caryophanales; Caryophanaceae
Description: bacterial SSU rRNA
Rfam family: Bacterial small subunit ribosomal RNA
Source: RNAcentral